Molecule: ribosomal RNA, 800 nt
Filed under: uncultured bacterium
Lineage: Bacteria
Description: bacterial SSU rRNA
Rfam family: Bacterial small subunit ribosomal RNA
Source: RNAcentral
AGAGUUUGAUCAUGGCUCAGAACGAACGCUGGCGGCAGGCCUAACACAUGCAAGUCGAGCGCCCCCUUUCAGAGCACAGAAUACAGAAGACAGGUAUCAGAAUGCGUUGUGUGCGCGAUCGCGCGCGGCGCCCUUUCUGAUCCCUGUUCUUGGUUUUCUGUUUUCUGAUGGGGGAGCGGCGGACGGGUGAGUAACGCGUGGGAAUUUUCCUCAAGGUAGGGAACAACUCAGGGAAACUUGGGCUAAUACCCUAUGAUGCAGAGAUGCCAAAGAUUUAUCGCCUUGGGAUAAGCCCGCGUCAGAUUAGGUAGUUGGUGGGGUAACGGCCUACCAAGCCUGCGAUCUGUAGCUGGUCUGAGAGGACGAUCAGCCACAUUGGGACUGAGACACGGCCCAAACUCCUACGGGAGGCAGCAGUGGGGAAUCUUGCGCAAUGGGCGAAAGCCUGACGCAGCCAUGCCGCGUGAAUGAUGAAGGUCUUAGGAUUGUAAAGUUCUUUCGCCCGUGACGAUGAUGACGGUAACGGGAGAAGAAGCCCCGGCUAACUUCGUGCCAGCAGCCGCGGUAAUACGAAGGGGGCUAGCGUUGUUCGGAAUUACUGGGCGUAAAGCGCGCGUAGGCGGUUUUGCAAGCCAGAGGUGAAAUGCCUGAGCUCAACUUAGGAAUUGCCUUUGGGACUGUGAGGCUUUGAGGACGGAAGAGGUGAGUGGAAUUCCCAGUGUAGAGGUGAAAUUCGUAGAUAUUGGGAAGAACACCGGUGGCGAAGGCGGCUCACUGGUCCGUUUUUGACGCUAAAGCGC